This 429-nucleotide ribosomal RNA is filed under the name Actinomycetes bacterium. RNAcentral describes it as "Actinobacteria bacterium partial 16S ribosomal RNA". It matches the Rfam family "Bacterial small subunit ribosomal RNA", at positions 355 to 776 of the family's 1533-position model. Lineage: Bacteria; Bacillati; Actinomycetota; Actinomycetes. The record is from RNAcentral.
UAGGGAAUCUUCCGCAAUGGGCGAAAGCCUGACGGAGCAACGCCGCGUGAGUGAUGAAGGUCUUCGGAUCGUAAAACUCUGUUAUUAGGGAAGAACAAAUGUGUAAGUAACUAUGCAUGUCUUGACGGUACCUAAUCAGAAAGCCACGGCUAACUACGUGCCAGCAGCCGCGGUAAUACGUAGGUGGCAAGCGUUAUCCGGAAUUAUUGGGCGUAAAGCGCGCGUAGGCGGUUUUUUAAGUCUGAUGUGAAAGCCCACGGCUCAACCGUGGAGGGUCAUUGGAAACUGGAAAACUAGAGUGCAGAAGAGGAAAGUGGAAUUCCAUGUGUAGCGGUGAAAUGCGCAGAGAUAUGGAGGAACACCAGUGGAGAAGGCGACUUUCUGGUCUGUAACAGACGCUAAUGUGCGAAAGCGUGGGGAUCAAACAGG